UACGGAGGGUGCUAGCGUUGUUCGGAAUUACUGGGCGUAAAGCGCACGUAGGCGGCUUUGUAAGUUAGAGGUGAAGGCCCGGGGCUCAACCCCGGAACUGCCUUUAAGACUGCAUCGCUUGAAUCCAGGAGAGGUGAGUGGAAUUCCGAGUGUAGAGGUGAAAUUCGUAGAUAUUCGGAAGAACACCAGUGGCGAAGGCGGCUCACUGGACUGGUAUUGACGCUGAUGUGCGAAAGCGUGGGGAGCAAACAGG
This 253-nucleotide ribosomal RNA is filed under the name uncultured bacterium. Its description in RNAcentral is "partial 16S ribosomal RNA". It matches the Rfam family "Bacterial small subunit ribosomal RNA", at positions 524 to 776 of the family's 1533-position model. The record is from RNAcentral.